RNAcentral lists this long non-coding RNA (2608 nucleotides) under Nicotiana tabacum (common tobacco). Its description in RNAcentral is "long non-coding RNA (NTAB_LNC012652)". The record is from RNAcentral. Lineage: Eukaryota; Viridiplantae; Streptophyta; Magnoliopsida; Solanales; Solanaceae.
CUUGCCAUUCUUUUUGGGACAAAAGGAGUACGCCAAUCAAAUGUUUAAAACGAUGAAUCAAACAUUCAAUAACUGAUAAGUUAUGCUUCUUUUGUUUUGAUGAUUUGACAAAUCUCACGAGAGAACCGAAUAAGGAUAUGAUACAAUUAGUUCCCUUGCAUUCAGAGUAACUAGUUAGAUGUCUAGUUCAAUUCUCAAUGAAAUCAGAUAAGGGAACAACAGAGGGAACAGAUAGGGAUCAGUUCCACUGGUCGUCGAGCAGUCAACUCUACAGUUGUAAAAGCUGCUGUACUCUACCGUCUAGUAGGCUGCUGUACUGUACCGUCUGCCAGCAGUACAUCAGUACCACUGUAGCUUUUCUCUAACACUUGCAAAUCAAAAGAUAAUAUUCCCUCAAGUGUUAGCCACCACCCCUCUCAAGAACAAAGCUGCUGCAACCUCAAGUGUAGCAACCCCUUUGGGAGGGUGCUACUUAAGAAACAAAUCUAAUUUACUACUUACAACAUUAAGAAGAUAUUAAUUAAAAAAUAUUCAGAAUAAUUUAGUAGCGGAAAUAGGCCCAUGCGAUGAGGUCCAAAGUGCAAUAUUUUUAUUUUCGAAAAUACUCUUCAUAAUUUUUAUAUUAUUUUUUAAAAAUAAAAUACAAUGUCAAAUAAGGUGAUAUAACCCUUCUUGAAUAAUCAACACGUUAAAGCAACUUUCUAACAAAAUUAUACUUUCUUUUGACAUCACUGCAAGUUUGUAUUGUACAUAAAUUUCAAACUAUCGGGUAUAAAAAGGAAAACUAGUUUUCUCCUUUGUACAUAUAUAUAAGACAAAGUGUAAAUUUAACAUAUUACAAGACUUGAGUUAUUAACACACCUUAAAACAACAAAAUAAGUUACCAAAUUCAAGUUACAAGAUUUUGGUUUUAAUAUCCAAGCCUCCAAAUAACAUACAGAAGUGUGACAUAUAUAUCAUGUACAAGUCCCAAAACUAUACAAAACUAUGGUGCAUAUGUAAAUGUGAUCUCUAUAAGUACUCCCAAAAACACUACUUCAUAAGGCCGUCUUCAAAUUUCAUCCCGUACAUUACCUACGAUAGAAAACAACUAUCGCUACGCAUAAAGCUUAGUGGCGUAUAAACUUUGGGGGCUUGGAGCUAUUAACUUCUCCAAUUCUCAUUUUUAGUCAUAGGUAGCUCAAAUAAAAUAUAAUUUUAAAUAAGUAAAUAAAUAUAUCAAAAGUAGCAAAUAUCAACCCUUGAAGUGUUUUCAAUUAUCAAAAACUAUGUUCAAGAUUCAAGAGUUGAGAAAGUCUAUACUAUCAAUCCAAGAAAGCUUGUCAAAAAUCUAUUUUUUUCGCCCAAUAUGUACGUCAUGCCAUCACACUAAGCAAAAUCAGAUAUCAAGAUAGACCGAAAUCCAAAAUCAAGUAGGGUCAAAACCCAACAGUCAAGAGAAUCAAGAACCAUAUUAAAAAUGGCUUUCUAGUUCGUACUUAACAUGGACAAGUUCCAUAAUUUAAAAAGAACUACAAAUCCAAAGUCAAGAUGGCAAAAGAUCCAAAUCAAGAUGCAUGCCAAGAUGAGUGACAACGUCACUGGCACAAGAAGGACAAAGUCCCAACAAGAAUGCAAAAUGAUCAAACAAUCCGUACGAGUGGGUGAUUUAGUAAAUAUCUUGCAAUACUUGAUAUAACACGAAUACAAUGCUAUUAAUUGAAGAGAAAAAAAAAUAAAAUAUCAGGUUAUUUCAAAAUAUUCCAGCAAGUAAAAAGAGUACAAAGUUUAUACACAAACCUUGGUGUUUUACCACAAAAUAGUUCAACCACAACUUGAAGACGUUCGAAUCGUCUACGCCCUAGACAAACCAAAUCCGUCCACUUCCUCAAACAUUUCUCCUUAGCUUUUAUAAGGAUAUAUAUACCUUAAAUACAUAAUAAAAUAUCUAUAUAAGUUUAGUGAUUUAACAUGUCAAACUAAACAUGAUAUUGGUAAAAAUUACCAAAAAUAUUUGAAACAGAAAUUCUGGAUAGUAUCAUUGUCUCGUGUUGUGACUCAGAUUUGAAGAUAAAAAAGGACAAACUAGACUAUGUGGUCUUCUUUACAAUUGUAGAUAUGUGUCUUAGAGUUUCAGAACAUCUUGAAUCACCCCCAUAUCAAUUUUGUACAAAGAGUUAUGCUAAACUUACUAACAGUAGUACAGGGAGGGUUUGUAAAACAGAAAAUCUGGGCAGCACCUGCCUUGUACUUUAUUACCUAUAUUCGGGUAAAUAAAAGACAAACCAAAUUUUGAUUCUUUCAUAAGAGUUAUAGAUCUAUGAAAUAGAUUUCCAGAAAGUCCUAGAUCACUUAAAACGGAGCUCUAUACAACAAGAUAUGAAAAAAACACUAAUAGCUGUCUAGUGUAAAAACGGGUUUAGUAAGUUACCACAAAAGAGAGGAGCAACUUGAGCUUCACCAAGAACGAAUUUUGCUGGUUGGUUUAUUGGAAAUUUAUGGUGGUUUUCAUGAAAUUUUCAGGUGAUAAGAAGGAGAGAGGUUAGGGGUGUUUUUCCUUUUCUUGAAAGAAUGAAAAUGGGGAGUUUAUGGAAGACUAAGUCAAUCAAAGUUGUCUUUAAGAAUUUUG